Molecule: non-coding RNA, 910 nt
Organism: Equus caballus (horse)
Lineage: Eukaryota; Metazoa; Chordata; Mammalia; Perissodactyla; Equidae
Source: RefSeq, a predicted model, not a curated record
GUGCACACUCACAGUGGUCUCUGAUGUCUGUUCCUCUUCUUAUAAGGACGUCAGUCCUAUCAGAUUAGAGCCCUACCCGUAUGACCUUAUUUAACCCUAAUUACUUCCUUAAAGGCCCUAUCUACAAAUACAGUCACAUUGAGGGUUAGGGCUUCAACAUGUGAAUUUUGAGGGAACACAAUUCAGUCCAUCAUAGGUGGGGAUGGGAGUCAAAGUGGGAAAGCUGGAGAUUGGUUAUGUGUGGGAGGAGGUGGAGAUGGGAAGGGUAAAUUGAGGAAAUCUGAAAGAGUUGCAGAAGGAAGCACUUGUAGCCGACCAUGGAGAAGUUAGGAUGGAGAGGAAGUUUAGUGCGGCCAAGAAUUGUCAGAAAGAAGUUGACGUGUAUUUCUUAGUUUCCUAGGAUACCUACUGUAAGAUUUACAGACCUCUGAUACCAAACAAGCCCAUAGAUUACUAGAGAAGGAAAAAAAAAUCUUUUCACAGUUCCUGCCUUUGGGAGAAGACAAACAAUGAACACGGAAACAACUUACUCAUGGCUAAUUAUGAUGUAAUAAAGAGUUAAGGGGCAGGGGGCAGCUUUAGAUUCAGUGGCCAGGGAAGGGCUCUCUGAGGUGACAUUUCAACCUGAAGUAUGAGAUAAAACCUGAGGGAAAGUGUUUGAAGCGGAGAAAACUGCAAGUGCAAAAGAUGAGGGAACGGAAGCUCAAAUGGGUUAAGUGACUGAAGCAAGAUUGCACAGCUAGUAAAGUGACAAACCUGGUACGCAAACCUAGUUCUUCAGAGAUCAAGUUCAAAGCUACUUCCACCACACAACACUGCUGUUCAUGGACCAGUUCUUUCUCCACAACCUUUGUCACUGAACUUCUUAAAUAUGAUCACAGGAAAAGUGUAGUAAAAAGAAUCAAAAUCG